This 64-nucleotide transfer RNA is filed under the name Dipodomys ordii (Ord's kangaroo rat). It matches the Rfam family "tRNA". Rfam says of the family: Transfer RNA (tRNA) molecules are approximately 80 nucleotides in length. Their secondary structure includes four short double-helical elements and three loops (D, anti-codon, and T loops). The record is from Rfam by way of RNAcentral. Lineage: Eukaryota; Metazoa; Chordata; Mammalia; Rodentia; Heteromyidae.
GGUGGCUCAGUGGUAGAGUGCUUGCCUUGCAUGCACAAGGCCCUGGGUAUGAUUCCUAGCACCA